CCUACGGGGGGCAGCAGUAGGGAAUAUUGCUCAAUGGGGGAAACCCUGAUGCAGCAACGCCGCGUGAGUGAUGAAGGUUCUCGGUUUGUAAACCCCUUUUGUUAGAGAAGAUAAUGACGGUAUCUGACGACUAAGCACCGGCUAACUCCGUGCCAGCAGCCGCGGUAAUACGUAGGGGGCAAGCGUUACUCGGAUUCACUGGGCGUAAAGCGCGCGUAGGCGGGAUAGCAAGUCAGAGGUGAAAUCCUGUGGCUUAACCAUAGAACUGCAUUUGAAACUGUGAGUCUAGAGUAUAGGAGAGGUAGGCGGAAUUCUUGGUGUAGGGGUAAAAUGCGUAGAGAUCAAGAGGAACACUGAUGGCGAAGGCGGCCUGCUAGACUAUAACUGACGUUGAGGCGCGAAAGCGUGGGGAGCAAACAGGAUUAGAUACCCGGGUAGUC
Molecule: ribosomal RNA, 440 nt
Filed under: uncultured bacterium
Lineage: Bacteria
Description: partial 16S ribosomal RNA
Rfam family: Bacterial small subunit ribosomal RNA
Source: RNAcentral